UACGUAGGGUGCGAGCGUUAAUCGGAAUUACUGGGCGUAAAGCGUGCGCAGGCGGUUUGAUAAGUCAGAUGUGAAAGCCCCGGGCUCAACCUGGGAACUGCGUUUGAAACUGUCAGGCUAGAGUGUGUCAGAGGGAGGUAGAAUUCCACGUGUAGCAGUGAAAUGCGUAGAGAUGUGGAGGAAUACCGAUGGCGAAGGCAGCCUCCUGGGAUAACACUGACGCUCAUGCACGAAAGCGUGGGGAGCAAACAGG
Molecule: ribosomal RNA, 253 nt
Filed under: uncultured bacterium
Lineage: Bacteria
Description: partial 16S ribosomal RNA
Rfam family: Bacterial small subunit ribosomal RNA
Source: RNAcentral